Molecule: long non-coding RNA, 16550 nt
Organism: Pan troglodytes (chimpanzee)
Lineage: Eukaryota; Metazoa; Chordata; Mammalia; Primates; Hominidae
Exons: 2
Source: RefSeq, a predicted model, not a curated record
CGGGCCGCCUUGGGGCCUCGGGAAGGCACGGACGCCCGCGGCGCGGCGGGGGUGUGCGCUGUGUGCGUGCGGGUGUCCACACACGCCGGCCGGGGCACGCGGCUGCUCCGCCGAGGGAGCACUGCGGCGCUGCUUGUCUUGCAAGGCCGGGCGAGCGUCGCCUGCGCCCCGCGCGCCGCGAGCUCCGCCAGGAAGAUGGAUCGUCAGCGUUAAUUUGAUCAUGGACAAUAGAGUCUCUCCUGCGGGAAAGUGGCUCGGUGCCUCCGCGUCCUGGGCUGCCGGAGCGUCCCGGCCCAGGAGACGCCUGGGGGCAGCCGGCGGGGUCGGCGCCACCCGACCCCUGACAGGUUACCAGGCCAGGCCUGGGCGUCUUGCUGGACGUUGAAGACGUGUUCUGAGAAGUGCUGCCGCUGGGGGCGAGGCCCGGGCCGGCGUGUUUGGGCGGUGCAGGGCUGCCCUCCUUAGUGUGUUUGCUCAAUUCAGGGGUGCAGUUGAACUUAGUGGAUGCCGAGAGCCAGCCUUAGCCGCGAGAGCAUCGUGUCCAGGUGCCCCUGUGCAAACGCUGGUCCCGGUAGUGUGCUUUGUACCAACCAAAAGUCCUGGGUUGGAUGAGAGGAAGAACCCUACCAGGAGGGCAGGGCGUCCUCCAGCGGAAGGGUCUCGCUUUCAUGUAUCUGCAGUUGGAGGCCACUGAAGUGGAGGGUGCUGUGGUUUUAAGAGGGGCAGGAUGCUUGGGCAGAAUCCCCACCCCCUUCCCUCUGCAUGUCAGGCAGGGCCAUGGCCUUCCAGGAGAGCUACAGCAGCAGUCUGCCUUCCGGGGCUGUGCCCUCUGGAUUUCUGGUGGCUCUCAUUUCUCUAUUUCCAGGCUGCUGAUUUAUUUUCUUGCUUCAUCCCUUUGGUCCGGCCAAGACUCACCUGGGGCACCAGGUGGCAUGUGCGUGGGCAGUGUGGAGUCAUAUCUUAGCCACAGUUGAUCAGCACUUUCUCCCUUCUCAGCGCUGUUGGCCAGUGAUGGUAAAAAGCUUGCAGAGUGGCUUGUCCAUAAUACAGACUGGCCGGUAAGACCUCUAUUGAGGAACACUGAGAAUGGCCCAAAGCCGGCAGGAAUGUGCCUGAAAGCCUGGUGCUGGCGUUGCGCAGCCUCCUCCCUCUGUGAGGGAGAGGGUAUCAGCCCACAGAGAGGCUUUGCCUUGGCACUAUGUAGUCUGAACUACUAACCCCGAAGUGCUUUGGUUUGAAACUUGGCCAGUUAGGUGGAGAAAGUGGAUGUUGUGUUGCUGAGCCCUUGGCAUUUGGCAGCCCUGUAGACUUGAACCAUGUCCCAGCCAGGCUGGAUGACUGGCAGACUAUACCCUUGGGGGACUUGCUAAUUCCAGGGGAGGAUCCGGGUGGAGCUCCAGCCUUAUGGGGUCCUAGCCCUUUGUGUGUAUCUGUCUCCCAUGAGGUCACCUGGCUGCCUUGUUGGUGACUUAAGAUGCUCUGUGGAUUCCUCAAGAGACGGGCUCUGUCUGCCUCUGCAUGACUCGUGAUGAGUGGCGGUGGGACCUGGACCCAUCUGCUGAUGAUCAGGUGGUGUUGCAGCAAGGUUCCUCCAGAGCUCCAGCUCUGCGUCUGUUACGGGAGCUGUGAAGGCUGCACGGUGCUCAUUUCAGAUGGUUCUUCCUGGCUCUCUGGCUGCAUCCACAGAAGUCUGAUGAAACACUGUGAAAGCCGGCGUCAAGUAUUGAAGGCACCUGGCUGAGAGCCUCUUUUGCUGCAUGAAGACCUCUGGCUGAGUGGGGUUCACAACACCUCGUUUUUAUUUCCCAUUCUUGAAGCUGAGCUCUGGGGCUCAAGCACUUCCAGCAAAGCAGUUUGACUUUCUAGCAAGAGGAUGUGGUUGCAUUUUCCUUUCUCCCUUAAAAGAAAAAAAAAAUGCGUCGUUUGUAGAUGAUGGUUUUUUUUUUGACAGCACGAUGCCUACCUUAGCGAUUUGAGAUUUUAGGCCCCUUCUUGGCCGGGAUCCUUGUCAUUUUUAAUAAGGCUUAGAAUCAUUGGGUGAAUCCUGUUUGGGACUGGGGUGAUGCUGUUAUUUUUCUCUUAGAAAUAGGGAUGUCUACAUUAUGUGGAGCUGUAGUUAAUUUAGUGAGGCUUAAGAACCACUCAGACAUGCUGCUGUUCUUUGCAUGUUCUUCUGUUAUCAAUAAUGAUACCACUUUUCAUUUCUGUAGAACUUUAACAGAAAUAUUUUUGCAUGUAUAGUCUCAUUGUGUGGCUUCACCAACCCUGUGAGGGAGGGUGGGUAGCUUCCUCAUCCUCAUUUUAUGGAGGAGCGAGUGGAGGUUCAGGGAGGGUUAAUGACCUCCUUAACAUUUGACUGAGGUGGUUUGAAGUCUGAUCUGAACCAAGGGAUCAUUUGAAUGGAGUUUCUGUCUCCACACUGCAUGUGGAUGGCAGGAACCCAGUGCUGGCAACUAAGCCUGCACUGGAACAUCACAGUAACUGCAGAGGGCUCCCCGCAAGGAGCUGCCCCUGCCUGUGCGUGCACCUUGGAGGUUUUAAAGUCUAACUGUUUCCAAUCAGGACAGCAGGUGCACAUCAUAACAAAUGGUUCAAAAAGUCAUUUGUCCCACCAAAUAGAAAACUGGCCACAUUUUAGAAGAUUUCCAGCUAGGGAUUUUUUUUUUCCCCUUCCUCUGUAUGUACAUACACAAAAUUGGGGUCUGACUUCCAAAGCUUCUGGACUACCAUGAUGUGGGCGCUUCUUUUUUUUUUUUUUUGAGAUGGAGUCUCGCUCUGUCGCCCAGGCUGGAAUGCAGUGGCGCGAUCUUGGCUCACUGCAGGCUCCGCCCCAGGUUCACGCCAUUCUCCUGCCUCAGCCUCCCGAGUAGCUGGGUCUACAGGCGCCCACCACCUCGCCCGGCUAAUUUUUUCUGUUUUUUUAGUAGAGAUGGGGUUUCAUCGUGUUAGCCGGUAUGGUCUCCGUCUCCUAACCUCGUGAUCCGCCCGCCUUGGCCUCCCAAAGUGCUGGGAUUACAGGUGUGAGCCACCGUGCCCGGCCGGGCACUUCUUAACGUUAUGAAGAGCUUUUGAAGAUAGGGUUUCUCUUGUUGGCACAAAAUUCCCACAUUUGGCUGCACCCUACUCAAAACUUCACUGUUUUCUGGCAUCUUCAGGAAUUUUUGCUGUUGGAGUGAGGUGCAGCCUUGUCCAAGGGAAGGAUGUUUUGGCUAAUGCUUAUUUCAGAGCGAAUGGAGGUGGGUCUGGGUUGUAAAAUCUCUUAACGAUGGACUAAACAUAUUUUAGUUGAAAGGCCCACCAAGGCUCCCGAAUAAAAACAGAUCCGUAAUCCUGUUUGUAGGCAUGGGAUACAGGUGAUUUUGCCCUCAGUCUUGUUUUAAAACACUAGCUUGUCAGAAGAGAACGGUUUUUUUCCCCCAAUUUUUGUUUUGUACAUUGAGAGGUUUAUUCCCCCCUCCCUUCACCCCCAAAUCACUAGAGUUUAAGGAAGCAUUGCUGAUUGUUCCAGAUUUAUCUGAUCAGGUUUCUGGGAUGUCCUGUGGGGCAUGGCAUGCUGUGAAAUGUAGCCACACAGCUGUGUCGUCUCUGGAGCCUCCGCAGCCACCAUGCCCAGAAAUGAGCCUGAGAGCCAUCUCGCCUCCAGUCUGAACAGCGUGUGUUAGUUUCCCCUCUGGUUCUCCUUAGAAAAGUCCAUCGGGGGUUGAUGGCAUUGAGGUAGAUGAAUUAACUGCCUUUCUUGUUCAGUAAAGCUUGUUCUUCUUUCAAGGAUAAAGCCUCUCUUAGCAGUCGCACAUCGUAAUUCAGCUUGCCAGCAGCAGGAUCGUGAUGUGAGUGAUAGCCCAGCCAGCUCAUUCAGCCAGGCGGCCCGAUUCCCAGGUUCCCACGCAUCGCCGGGAAGGUUGGCCUUCCUCUGAGGUUGAGCCCUCAGCCAGCCCUCAAGCCUCCAUCCCCACCAGGUGGCCAAUGAGAGGAAACCCAGGCUCUCCACUGGCCUGGCACUUGGCGGGAGAACCCUGCCCUGCACUUCUUAAGGGCAUUUCCACAGGGAGAUUCCAGGACCCCUUAGUAGUAUCUCAGCCCCAGUGUUUGGGGGACCUGGGAAGAUGGGUCAGGGUUCCCCACUUUGUCCCAUGAUACAGCUGCUCUGUUGAGCAUGUGUGUCCCACAGAGUGCGGAGUGUCUGAGGUGCAUCAUCUCAGUUCGUCCUGCAGCGAUCCUGUACACAGACGCACUGCUGAGGCCAGAAAGCUUAGGACACUUGUGCAAGAGCGGUGAGCUGGGCCCGUCCGACCUCACCUCUGGCCCUCUGUCGCCGUGUGAGAUUGCGGAGCCCCUGUUAUUCAUACUUCCCAUAGGCCGUGUGUGCAAAGCAUCCCAAGCUUGUUUCCGCCACCCAAGGCAAGAGGGUUUGAGAAGGCCCCAAAGAACCGAAAGUAUUCUGUUCUCUGUAAAGCAGCUGACUGUGGCAAAACUUCCAGAAGCAUUUGUUUUCAUGUGGAAAUGUAUUUAGUCCAGUUGAUGCAGGUGUGCAUGUUUAGGGAAACAAACAUUUUCUUCCUGCUGUGGAUAAGUGUCAUGUUUCUUUGUCACCAUUGGCCAUGUUCAUAAUCCUUCAAGUUGAAUGAAAGGUGGCAGAUUUGCAGUCCCCUCCUUAAAAAUAACACUCAGUUGGCUUUUAGUUGCUUCCAGGUGAGCUCUCGUACCUUGCCGGCACCCGGGGCCUCCACAAUGCGGGCGUUCCUUGUGAGUCCAGCUUACUCAUGCUUCUCAGUUGUGGUGCAGGUGCUCUUUGAGAUGCUGCCUUCUCUGCCUGUUGCUCACCCUGCGAGGCUCGGUCUCUGUUGGUGUCACUCAUGACCAGCCUUGCCUCGCCAGAAUUAAGGCCCUCCUGCUCUCUGCCCACCCUGUUUGGCUCAUCUACUUAAUCCCACUCCAGCUGGGAGGUCUGGAAGCUGGUUGAGGGCAGAAAUCAGGGCUUGUUUAUUGCUGUAUCCUCAGUGGUUUGAUAGAUCAUGUCUGGCCCUUGAAGGAUGCCCAGGGGUUUGUUGGCUGGCUGACUUGCCAGAGGGUCCUUUCCAAAGCUCCUUCUUGGUAGGAUAAACAAUGUUUAUACGCUACAGAAGUGAGGACAAUUUGAAACGUCCCCAGAGCACAGAAGUUAGGGUUAGACACCUUUUGGAUUUGGUGGGCUGGCUUGGUGGGAACUCAGUGUCAUGUGGUGUUUGGGAUGGAAGUGAAAUUUUCUUUACUGUAGGUAGGGGAAGCAAAAGAUUUGCUUGCUAAAUCUUGGCAGCUUUUUCAGAUCAGCUGUCUACAACAGGUUGGUGUUUAUGUUGGGUGUAAGUGAAUUUCAGACAUAGAAUCAAUAUUAAGAGGACAAAUGGGUGACAGCCUGUGUCACUGCCAUGAUAUAGUAUCUUUGGUGUCACACCGAGAGCAAACGUGAGUGUGUGUCAGGUCACAUUGAGGGCUGAUGGAAACAGAUUGCCGGCCCCUCCCAUACCUCCCGAGUUUCUAGUUCUGUGGGUUUGGAGCAGGACGCACGAAUGUGCCUCUCUAACAAGUGUCCUGAGGAUGCGGAUGCCCUGGUCCAGGGACCACACUUCUGGAAGCAUUGCUGUAAAGGAAAGGCAGCUCCAGUUGACUUGGCAUCAUCUCUGGGCCGUUGUUUCUUCUUCCUUGCUGUGCUUGUAGCCAGCUGAGAAGGUUUCCUAUCAGCCUGCCCUGCAGGUUGCAGGUGAAGACACCUAAGGCCAGCUGCUCAGGGAGUUGCUUGUGGUCACGCAGGCUAAGUGUGGUGGACGAGGGACUUAAACCAGAUCUGAAUGGUUUCAAGCUGGUGUUCAUGUGAUCUUCAUGAUGCUGUUUGAAAAGCAGCUGAAUGCUGGGUGAGGGGCCUGUCGUGCCAGACCCCUUUAAAUUUCAUUAGGGAUGGCACCGGGUUCAAGAGACUGGAGAAGAGACCUAGAGCCAGCAAACAAAAGACAGAGGGUUUAUUAGGGGAAUUAAUUUACAGAGUGGUCCCAUGGCGGCCUGGGCAGGAGAAGCGCUGCUGCUGCUUUCAGAAAGCGUGCAGUUUAUAUAGCAUUUUCGCUGAACACCCUCCCCCAAACAACCACCACCCAGCAACCUUAACACCAAUCAAAGAGCCUCAAUAUCCUGUAUGGCCUGCUUUCCAUGGGACAGGCUGGGGGUUUAGAUGUUCCUCAUAGAUAAGGAAUGAAUCUCUGGGUUGGCCACUCCCGGAUUCCUUAGCUCAGAACCCCGAACACACAUUCAGGUGCACCUGCCAUGCGGGGCCAUUCUCAGGGUGUGCUUCAGUUAUUGCUGUCAGGGGCAUCUGUCAGUGGGCUGCGUUUCUGCGACAUGGUGGCAUGUCGGAUGGACAUUGCCAAGAGAAUCUGGUUAGGAGGUAGAGGCAGCUGAUAUCCAUUUCCUUCUAGACUCAUUCUGUGGUUUUGUGGAUUUUCCUUCUUGUCUUUCCGAGAUUGUUGCUUUUUAAUGUAGUCUUAUGUAUAUUUAGAUUGGGUUCUUCAGUAUUCACUUAUUAUAUGAUAAUUUGGCAGAUGACACAUUUUGUUACCAAUAUUUCCAAGCUGAAAGCGCGUUUCUGUAAAAGACAGGAGCUAGAUGUUACUAGUAGCUUAAAAGAGCUGUUGGAAGAGCCUGAAGGAAGUGACUCAGAAGGGAGAGAAGCAGUGGGGGCAGCUGCAGGAACCUUCAAAACAAAACCUGCAGCCCUGUUGCUACCACCUCUUGUUUUUUGCCUAAACCAGGCGUUUUAUUUUGUUAAGACGAAAAUCCCUUAUUUUGCAUCCGUUUUUCCCCCUGUAUACCCUGCAGGUGUUUAUAGUUUGUGAGUCUCACUCUGGCUUGUUUUAACCACUGAUUUCGUUUCGUCUUAUGUUUCUCUACACUCUAGCAAACCUGUGUCCCCCUCCCCGCCCCCAUCCCAAUCCUCCAGCCUUCACGUCCUUAGCUUAAGUGAUUGAGUCUGGCAAAGCGGAUGAGGCUUAGCUAUUUUUAAAAUCCAGGGUUUGAGGUUCUGAUCUGGUGCUUAGCUACAUAAUUCCUUCCCUUUGUUAAGUACCUUUCUCCGAGAAACAAAAUGCACUCUACAGAUGUUAAUCUCUAAUCUUUGCAGCAUCUGUUAUUUUUAUUCAGGGGUACAAGUGCUUUGUGUGUGCUGCGGUGAGCCCUGGCCUUCUGGAAGCUCUGUGCUUCUAAGGGGCUGAGGGGGAUUUGGGGGUCCCUUUUCAUAGUGUGGGCUGUCUUUCCCAAGAUGCAGUGAUGACCCGUCAGAGGCAGGGCUGGUAUUGUCCGUGGGGUCCAGUCCCUCUAUCUUCCAGGGCUUUUCUGGUCACAAGAGACCAUGGCCAGAAGUGGGUAUCGUGCUUGUGUCUGGGGCCUGGGGAGGGAAAACAAAUACCACCCCCUGCAGAAGAGAUCGUUAAUGGAUUCUUUGAAUAAUCAGCCAGAUAGCUUGUUUGUGUGCGAGGUUGGGACAUUUUCCGUAAAGAGCAGACUAAAUAUAGGCUCGAGGGUGGGGACCAGGGCCCGAGAGGGGGCUGCCACUGCUUGCUCCAGUAUUGUUUCUUCCAUUGGUAACCAGAACUUGCCACCAGUCCCGAACAGGUGGCCACCCUGAGCUCUCUGGGAACAGAUUGGUGUUUUUGUUUAACCAGGGGCUCAUUUGCAAAUUUCACACUUCUCCCGCUGUUUGAUGGGGAUUGUCUUUUUUUGGGCUGCAGUGUUGGAGUAUUUGUACAGUGUUUCUACACAAGCAACUGUCUAAUCUUUAAAACUGCUCAUGCCGUCUGGUUGUCAUUAGCAUCAUGGUUAGAAGCUUUUUAUUUGCUUUUUUUUUUUUUUUUUUUUAAGGGUGGGAAAACACUUUUCAUGGUUCUGGGAGAAGAAUUUCAAAUAAUGUCCAUGUUCACAAAUGAUUUAUGUUUGGUCUUGGAGAAAUGUCAGCAUUCAACAGGCUCUAGUAAAUACAACCAUGUUGAUUUCCAGCUUAGGACGAAGCUACUGUUACCCUCUUCUCACUCAGAUAAUAGUCUGAAAGGCAGAACCGUAUCUUUAGAAAGUGCAUUUAGCUUCAAUUCAAUAAGUUUUAGUUUUAGCCAAUAGUGACUUGUAGUAUUGAGGAUACUUGAAAGAAAGAAGUUAAACAUUUUUUUAAAAAUUUAUGAACGCCUGCAACAAAUAGCCACAAGACCUACCCUUUUUUCAGGAAAGAGUUUUCACUUCUUAAAUGUCACCUUGGGGGCAUGCCCACUGUGUGAUGGUACCCUUCAGCAGGAUUGGUAUUGUCGGAAGUGCUGGCUAGCUUAUGUAAUGAAAAAGAAAUUGAUUUGGAAAGAGCUGAUUGCCCUGAACUUCCAUCCUGUUUGUGCAUUGAGCUGCCCUUUUCAGUGGGGGAGAAUCCAGCAUAUUUUCCAGGGAGGGUGUUUCCGGAAGCCUGUCUGCACCCCCUUUGUUGUUGUUUUCGAAGGUCUGGGGUGCUGCUGUGAGCCGGGAUCGAGUAUCUGCUCCUGUUCUGACGAGACUGCUCCUGCUGGAAGUUCAGCCUGGUGAACCUGAUUUGGGAGGGGAUGGUGUGAUUGGCGGGGAACAGCAUUGUGUUAAUUUUAGCUUCAACAAUCAAGCCUGGGUCUCUGAGUGUCCAUGUAGUACUUGAAGUUUGGGUUUGGAAUUGGUGGGAUUGAGACCACUUCAAACUCUUUUAUUUCUUGGAACUUGUUAGUAUUUAUUUAUUUUUUGAGACAGGGUCUCACUCUGUUGCUUAGGCUGAAGUGCAGUGGCACUAUUGGGGCUCAUUUGUAGCCUCAACCUCCCAGACUCAAGUAAUCCUCCCACCUCAGCCCCCGCCAAGUAGCUGGGACUCCAGAUGUGCACCAUGCCUGGCUAAUUCAUUGGAUUUUUCAGUAGAGACAGGGUUUCACCAUGUUGCCUGGGCUGGUCUUGACAUUCUGGACUCAAGCAAUCCACCUGCCUGAGCCUCCCAGAGUGCUGGGAUUACAGGCAUGAGCCACUGUGCCUGGCCUAGUUUUUAAUUUUUGAGACAGUCUCUGUCAAUCAGGCUGAAGUACAGUGGCACGAUCGUGGCUCACUGAAGCCUUGCUUUCCUGAAGCGAUCCUCCUGCCUUGGCCUCCCAAAUAGCUGGGACCACAGGCACGCACCACCAUGCCUGACUAAUUUUUUUAUUUUUUUUGUAGAGAUGGGGUCUCGCUGUGUUGCCUUGGCCUCCCUAAGUCUUAGGAUUACAGGCUUGAGCCACUGCGCCCAGCCUCGAACUCUUUUUUUUUUGACACAUAACAUAGAGAAAGGUGCCCGAGUCAUAAAGGAGAAAGUUUUCACAAACUGAUCACAUGUGGGACCAGCAUCCAGUUCAGUGGCCAGCACAGACUCAUCUGUCGUGAGGGUCGUUAGAAAUUGUAGCCCCCAUUUAUUGGUCUCUUCUGCCUGUGAUAUGUGCUUGAGUGGUUGCCUGUUUUGGGGGCUGUCAGUGUUUGAGUGGCUGCCUGUUUCGGGGGCUGUCAGUGUUUGAGUGGCUGCCUGUUUCGGGGGCUGUCAGUGUGUGACUGGCUGCCUGUUUCGGGGGCUGUCAGUGUGUGAGUGGCUGCCUGUUUCGGGGGCUGUCAGUGUGUGAGUGGCUGCCUGUUUCGGGGGCUGUCAGUGUUUGAGUGGCUGCCUGUUUCGGGGGCUGUCAGUGUGUGAGUGGCUGCCUGUUUCGGGGGCUGUCAGUGUUUGAGUGGCUGCCUGUUUCGGGGGCUGUCAGUGUUUGAGUGGCUGCCUGUUUUGGGGCUGUCAUGAAUAGCACCACUGUGCAGAUUCUCACUUGCCUUUUGGUGCCCAUAUGGCCUCAUUUCUGUCGGGUGUGUGCUGGGCUGUGUCUUUCUCUCUGUGGGUUGGACGUAGCUGCUCGUGAAGCCGCUCCUUCAGCCCAGCAGCCCCUACCUGGGAAACCUUUCAGUGCUUUCAAGGUUCAUUUUAUGACACUCAGGAUGGCCGUUUGUCUCCUUUUGCUGAUUUUCAUUCUUUCAGUUGUUUGUUCAUAAACAAAUGUUUGCAUGGCUAAUGCAUUUCCAGCACUUAGAGAUUAGGUUUUUAAACUUUUGGAUUGUCUGCAGGCUAUUAAUUCCUUGUUAGUUGAAUAAUGACGGCUGUGUGCAUGGAGCUGUGUGAGCGAAAUCCCUCACCAGGAAGAGGGCGCAGUUCCUCUGGGACUGGAACAGGGGCCCCUUUGGCUCUCCUUGGCUCCUGGCAGAAGUCAGUUGUCAACUGGGGGACUCUUUCUGGCUGAGCCCCAAGCAGCCUCAAUCCAUCUCUGUGCUGGGUUUUAGAUAACCCGCUGGAUCUGUGUUGGUCUUUGAAAGGGAAUUCACUCUGUAUGUUUGGCCUAAACUGUGUUAUGGCCUUCAUAGUUACGUAUUAGCAUUAUUCAGUUUUUGUUGUUUGUAGCAAUUAUGCUGAAGACACAAAAGAAGAAAAAAAGCUAAGUGUUGCCAACUCAAGGAGUAAUUUUCUUUGUUCCAGCGCUGUGUCCUGGGAGCUGCCCAUCCCCCUCCACAAAGGCCAGUGCUAAACAAGGCCAGAGCCAGGAAGGACACGCGGGGCCAUGGAUUGAGUGAGGGCAGUGUGUGCGUGUGUGGAUUUCUCUGGUGGCUUUGCAAUGGCAAAUAUUUAUUUUGAGGGAUGGUGGUGGGAGGACCAAGUUUAUACUCACUUUGUUUAGUAGGGGAAGUGGCUAAUGUGAGAAUCAAUAGACAAGAUUUUAUCAAGCCCCUGCACUGGGCAGAGUGCAGUUUUUGAAGCUGGGAGAACAGGCAGAUAUGUGGGACACUCAGGGCCCUUCAGAUCUCCCCCAGGAGCCACUGAUACAGGACUUGAGCUUGGAGGGAGCUGGAGUGGCCGCUUGCUGAGUCUUUCUCCCUGGAGCCCAUGGGCAGCUGGUUACCUCGCGCCGGGGCGACCCUGACUUAGGACCUCCUGCCGUUUCUCUGGGUGACUGCUCUGUAGUCGUGCGUCGUCUCUUUAAUGCUGAGCAUCAGUACCUGCACAGCCCUGAAUGGAGCAGCUGCCCAGAAUCUGUCUUGUCAUCGAUAGAUGGACAGUUGCCGAGUGUCCUGCGUGCCAACUGACUAAGGAGUUUUUGUCUCUGUCACCCUGUCCCCUGUGGUUUUAUUCAGACAUUAGUUAUGAAUCCGUGUUUAGGAUGAGAAGAUGUAAACAGUGAGGAGGAUAAGUGAGAAGUUAGCAAGAGUCUGGAUGGUGAUGGCGGGGGAGCGCUGGUGGAGGAGUCGGGGGCGUCCCGCUGGACUGGGGCACAGCUCUGCAGCAGCAGCCGGUGCGGUUUUGCCUUGUAAGUGACACCGUUGCCUGCAGGCAUCUCUGACAGCUGCUCCUGCUCCAGAUUCCAGAAAUUUCUAUGGAACAUUUCCUGAACCAUCCUCCUGGUUUCUUCCCUUCCCCUCACUGAAUAAAAUCCGUAAUAGCACCUGCCGCUUGAGUGUUUGUCUCUGCAGGAUGCCGUGUUCAGGGCUGGGUGCCCUUUGUGUCAUUUUGUUAUCCUGGUCACUGCCAGACAGAGGUGGUAGGACCCUCAUUUGUCACGUCAGGAGCCUGCAGCCUGGAGAGUUUAAAGCCUUGCCUGAAUCCGCCCACUCCUGAAGGUGGCAGAGUCAGGAUUCGAACUCGGGACCCAUGGACACCAGCCACCUAUGGGUCUUUAUUUUUAUAUUUUAAAAAACUUUUAGUUUCAGGGGUACACAUGCAGGUGUGUUAUAUAGGUAAGUUGGGUGUCAUGGGGGUCUGGUGUACAGAUUAUUACAACGCAUAGUAAGUACAGUACCUGAUAGGUAGUUUUUCAGUCCUUUCCCUCCCACCCUCCACCCUCAAGCAGGCCUUGGUGGCCGUUGUUCCAUUCUUUGUGUCAAUGUUGAGCUCAAGUGAGAACAUGAGAUAUUUGGUUUUCUGUUCCUCCGCUGGUUCGCUUAUGAUAUUGGCCUCCAGCUCCAUCCAUUUUGCUGCACAGGACAUGAUCUCAUUCUUUUUAUUAUGGCUGCAUAGUACUCCACAGUGUAUAUGUACCACAUUUUCUUUAUUCAGCCCACCAUUGAUGGGCAUUUUGGUUGAGUCCAUGUCUUUGCUAUUGUGAAUAGUGCCACAGUGAACACACAACUAACUGCGUGUGUCUUUAUGGUAGAACAAUUAUAUUCCUUCAGGUGUGUACCAAGUAAUGCCACCUACAGUUUUGAUGUUUUAAUAAAGUAGAAAAGGAAACUUCAGAAAUCAGCCCAUAAGUCUGCAGAAGUACUUGGGGAAUUCUCUCUGCAGAUCUCGGUUUGUGAUUUGAAACUCACAUUCACACUCGGUUUUUUACUCAUCAAGGUUAUAAAGAAAAUAACAGCUGUUGGUUCACUUUUAUUCCCUUGCUGAGAGUUGGUGGCGGCUGGGAUGCUGACUGACGGUUUUGAUUACAUGAGGAGGAGGCACGGAGGCAAGCUGACUGCCUGCGAUUACAGGUUCCGAAGUCCGGGAGGAGGGAGGAUUUCCAAACGGCAUGCCUUUGAAAAUUCACCUGCGUUUAGGAAAUCUGCAGCACCUUUAAUCCUGGCUAGCUGAAAAUACAGCUUACAUUUAAGCCACACAAAUUCUGUGACAUUUUAAUAAUGGAGAUGUUAGUGGGCAGUUAACUUUUUAUACAUGUAAAUAGAAGUUACUUUCCCCCUGUGCUGUAAUUAGCAAAAGAGGGAGAAAGGGAUGCUCUGUGCAUCAAAGCGAUUUGCCCAGGGUUACACAGAGGAAGGUGGCAGAGCCGGAAGUGGCAGAAUCCAGUGCACGGGCGGGAUGCCGAGUGUGUCGCCAAACUCCACCACUUUAGUCGGGGGCGUGGUGGUGGCUGCGCUAUCUGCUUCCCACUCACGGGCAUCCUAGCCGUGUGGGGUGUGUGCUCACCUGCAGCCACCCUCACCUGCUUGAACCAGAUUUACCUAGAGGGUGGUGUGAACUCAUGUGAUGUGAAUGAUUACUUAUAGUUACCGUGAAAAUUAAUGGUGGGUUUUAUAGUUGGAAUGCUUUUUCUACACUUAUUUGAUUUUUGUCUAUCUGUUUAGAGAAGUGUUUUUUCUGUUGUUGUUGUUUUUUAAACUUGAGAUGGAGUCUGGCUCUGUCACCAAGGCUGGAGUGCAGUGGUGCGAUCUCGGCUCACUGUAACCUCUGCCUCCCAGGUUCCUGGGUUCAAGCAAUUCUCCUUCCUCAGCCUCUUGAGUAGCUGGGAUUACAGACAUCCACAACCACACCCGGCUAAUUUUUGUAUUUUUAGUAGAGACGGUUUCACCAUGUUGGCCAGGCUGGUCUCGAACUCCUGACCUCAAGUGAUCCACCCUCCUCGGCCUCCCAAAAUGUUGGGAUUACAGGUGUGAGCCACCACGCCUGGCCAGAGGUGUGGUUUACAUAAAGUAAACUCCAACUCUUGAAAGUUUGCCAUUUGAUGAGUUUUGACCCCUGUAGCUACAACCGAGGUAUGGAAGGCAACCAUUCCCCGACCCCAACACUUCCUCAUGCCCGUUUGCAACCUGCACCACUUCUGUCCGUCUGCUUGCACCCAUCUGCUGUCUGUCACUGUGGAUUAGUUUGCAUUUUCCAGAAUAAAAUAGAAAUAAGAUCAUGCAUUAAAAAGGGGGUCCCCAGCCUCUGGGCCAUGGACCAGUACUGGGCCUAUUAGGAACCAGGCCGCACAGCAGGAGGUGAGUGACGGGCCAGCAAGUGAAGCUUCAUAUGUAUUUACAGCCACUCCCUUUGCCUUGUGUUACCCCCUGAGCUCCACUUCCUGUCAGAUCAGCAGCGGCAUUAGAUUCUCGUAAGCGCACAAACCCUACUGUGAACAGCACAUCUGAGGGAUCUAGAUUUGGCGCUCCUUAUGAGACUCUAAUGCCUGAUGAUCUGUCACUGUCUCCUGUCCCCCCCAGCUGGGACCCUCUAGUUGCAGGAAAACAAGCUCAGGGCUCCCACUGAUUCUACGUUAUGGUGAAUUGUAGAAUUUUUUUCAUUAUAUAUUACAAUGCAGUAAUGAUAGAAAUAAGGUGCACAAUAAAUGUAAUGCAUUUGAAUCAUCAUGAAACCAUCCCCCUGCCUCCCUUCAGUGGGAAAAUUGUCUUCCAUGAAACCGGUCCCUGAUGCCAAGAAGGUUAGGGACCGCUGCAGUAAAGGACCCCUUCUUUGACUGGCUUCAUUCAGUCAGCAUGAUGAUUUUUAGGGUCAUUCAAGUUGUUACAUAUAUCCAUAGCUUUUUCUUUUUCAUUGCUGAGUAAUGUUCCAUUGUAUGGAUUUACUACAGUGUUUUUAUCCUGUGGAUGGAUAUUGAUGGAGUUGUUUCCAGUUCUUGGCUUUUACAAAUAGAGGUGCUGUGAACAUUCACGUGCAAGUCUUCAUAUGGGCACGUGCUUUCAUUUCUCUUGGGUAGAUACCUAGGAGUGGAGUGGCUGGGAGAUGUGCUGGGUAUAUAAUUAACUUUUAUGUAAACUGCCUGCUGUUUUCCAAAUCGGUUGAUUUUACUCUCCCGCCGGCAGUGUGAGAGUGUCCACUUUGGGCUUAAGUUCAGCAGGCUUCUGGCAGUGAUGGGAUAGCAGCUGUCCUUAAGAAAGAGCGUUUGCCCUCUGUGUCUCUUGGGCUGUGAAGUGUCUUGUACUGAUGAGGGGGGUGGGAGGCUGUAGGAGUGAGGCUGAGGAGGGAAAGGAGAAGCCUCAGAAAGAGGUGCAGACUGAAGACCACCUUAGAAGGUCGCAAAAUCCAAGGGAGCAGAGCCAGUGUGCCUCUCCUUGUGACCUCUGGCCUCAGUUUCCCUGUCUGUAAAUCCGGAUGUUUGGCCAAGAUCAGUUUUCCACAAGGUGCUGGGUUGGGGGGCGGGGGGCGGCGGUGUAUGGCGUGCAAGCAUUGUAGCCCCCAAGAGGACAUUUGGCCAUGUCUGGGGCAAUUUUCGGUUUGUUACAACUUUGGGGUGGCGUGGUUGUUACUGGCAUGUGGCAGGUGGAGGUGAGGGAUGCUGCCCAAGAUCCCGCAAUGCCUGGGGCAGCCCUGAGUCUUCGUCAUCCCGAGACUGAGAGCCCCAGGUCAGAUGAGCUCUGUGACCCCCUCAGCCUCUGAUCCACACUCACCAAGGGUUACUCUGGUGCACGCUUCUGUUUCGGUGGGAGCUGGUGUAAUUAUCUAGAGGUGUGUCUACCUGUGUGCCCAGAGGGGCCCGCCCUCUCGGUGAGCAAGGACACCUGGUUCCCUGGGGUCUGAGCCAGGCCCUCAGGGAGAGGGGCAGCCAGGAGCCGCAGGGGGCUCAGCCAGCUCCUGGCCCGCAAGUGUUCUAGGAAACCGGCUUCUCUGUGGGGAUGUGACUCUCCCUCACUCCUCCCAUUGCCUGAGUAGGCAAAUUCCACCUAGCUCUUUAUGACUAACUGCCUGGCAGCCUGAGCUCAGGGCAGUUCCUAACGAACUUCUUUGAUUAUUAACCUAUGCUGGGCCCAGGGAAAUUACUCACUUGUUUUCUGGCCAAGAGAAAAUCUCCUGGAAACUUCUAUAUAUAAAUCUUUUUGACAAUUCCGCAUUCAAGAGAGUUCCCCUGGCAGUUCUUCUAUUUGUAGGGUGGGGAGAAAAACCCAUGUAAUUUCCCCAAACUGUGGAUUUUGUUCCUAUAGAACAUGCUUGUGAGAUUCAGUGUGCGUAUUUAUGUGAGUGUGUGUGAAUGUGUGUGAAUGUGUGUGUGUGAAUGAGUGUGUGAGUAUAUGUGGAUGUGUGUGAAUGUGUGAGUGUGAAUGAGUAUGUGGAUGUGUGUGAAUGUGUGUGUGAAUGUGUAUGUGUGGGUGUGAAUGUGUGUGUAAAGGUGAUUGUGAGUGUGUGAAUGCAUGUGAAUGCGUGAGUGUGUGACUGUGUGAAUGUGCGAGAUGUGAAUGUGUGUGUGAAUGGAUGUGUGUGUGAAUGUGUGUGAAUGCGUAUGUGUGAAUGUGAAUGCGUGUGUGAAUGUGUGUGUGUGUGAGUAUGUGUGUGAAUGUGUGUGUGUGUGGUGAUGGUCAUUGUCCACAUCGGUGGUCUUGUCACUCACUUCUUGAUCUGUUGCUGCAUCAGCAGAAUGCUGGGCAGAUGGCUGCAUCUUGUUUGGGAGUUUGGGAGUUUUCUUUGAGUAUCUGUUUUUUAACUUUCAGGGGAGAAUACCAAGGUUGGGAAACACUGGUUUUGCUGACAUAAGAAUAAGAAAAUUGGCCAGGUGCAUUGGCUCACACCUGUGAUCCCAACACUUUGGGAGACCGAAGUGGGAGGAUUGCUUGAAGCUAGGAGUUCAAGACCAGCCUGGGUAACAUAGGGAGACCCCCAUCUCUACCAAAAAACAAAACACCCAGGUGUGUUGGUGCUGCCUAUGGUCCCAGCUGCUCAGGAGGCUGAGGUGAGAGGAUUGCUUGAGCCUAGGAGGUUGAGGCUGCAGUGAGCCAUGAUUGCACCACUACCCUCCAACCUGGGCAACAGAGUGAGACCCUAUCAUUAAAAAUCAGUCAGUCAA